RNAcentral lists this ribosomal RNA (910 nucleotides) under Ascosphaera duoformis. Its description in RNAcentral is "LSU rRNA". It matches the Rfam family "Eukaryotic large subunit ribosomal RNA", at positions 38 to 964 of the family's 3401-position model. Lineage: Eukaryota; Fungi; Ascomycota; Eurotiomycetes; Onygenales; Ascosphaeraceae. The record is from RNAcentral.
GCAUAUCAAUAAGCGGAGGAAAAGAAACCAACAGGGAUUGCCUCAGUAACGGCGAGUGAAGCGGCAAAAGCUCAAAUUUGAAAUCUGGCUCCUUCGGGGUCCGAGUUGUAAUUUGGAGAGGAUGCUCUGGGGGUGGUCGCGGUCUAAGUCCCCUGGAACGGGGCGUCGCAGAGGGUGAGAAUCCCGUCUUCGGCCGGCCGACCAUGCCCGUGUAGAGCUCCUUCGACGAGUCGAGUUGUUUGGGAAUGCAGCUCUAAAUGGGUGGUAAAUUUCAUCUAAAGCUAAAUACUGGUCGGAGACCGAUAGCGCACAAGUAGAGUGAUCGAAAGAUGAAAAGCACUUUGAAAAGAGAGUUAAACAGCAUGUGAAAUUGUUGAAAGGGAAGCACAAGCGACCAGAGUCGGCCGCGGGGGUUCAGCAGGGGUCCUCCCCUGUGUAUUCCCCCGUGGUCGGGCCAGCAUCAGUUCUGGCGGCCGGUCAAAGGCUCCGGGAAUGUGUCGCCCUUCGGGACGACUUAUAGCCCGGGGUGCAAUGCGGCCAGCCGGGACUGAGGAACGCGCUUCGGCACGGAUGCUGGCUUAAUGGCCGUUUGUGGCCCGUCUUGAAACACGGACCAAGGAGUCUAACAUCCACGCGAGUGUUCGGGUGUCAAACCCGUCCGCGCAGUGAGAGCGAACGGAGGUGAGAGCCCCUCGAGGGUGCAUCAUCGACCGAUCCUGAAGUCUUCGGAUGGAUUUGAGUAUGAGCGUGGCUGUUGGGACCCGAAAGAUGGUGAACUAUGCCUGAAUAGGGUGAAGCCAGAGGAAACUCUGGUGGAGGCUCGCAGCGGUUCUGACGUGCAAAUCGAUCGUCAAAUUUGGGUAUAGGGGCGAAAGACUAAUCGAACCAUCUGGUAGCUGGUUCCUGCCGA